UAAUUGAUCCAUGGACCAAGCUACCCCAGGGAUAACAGCGCAAUCUCCCCCGAGAGUCCGUAUCGACGGGGAGGUUUACGACCUCGAUGUUGGAUCAGGACAUCCUAGUGGUGCAGCCGCUACUAAGGGUUCGUUUGUUCAACGAUUAACAGUCCUACGUGAUCUGAGUUCAGACCGGAGCAAUCCAGGUCGGUUUCUAUCUAUGAUGAACUCUUCCCAGUACGAAAGGAUAGGAAAAGUGAGGCCAAUACCACAAGCAAGCCU
This 264-nucleotide ribosomal RNA is filed under the name Sturnus vulgaris (Common starling). RNAcentral's name for it is "16S ribosomal RNA". It matches the Rfam family "Bacterial large subunit ribosomal RNA", at positions 2442 to 2756 of the family's 2925-position model. The record is from RNAcentral. Lineage: Eukaryota; Metazoa; Chordata; Aves; Passeriformes; Sturnidae.